RNAcentral lists this ribosomal RNA (740 nucleotides) under uncultured archaeon. Its description in RNAcentral is "bacterial SSU rRNA". It matches the Rfam family "Archaeal small subunit ribosomal RNA", at positions 1 to 750 of the family's 1478-position model. The record is from RNAcentral.
UUCCGGUUGAUCCCGCCGGACCCGACUGCUAUCAGAGUGGGACUAAGCCAUGCGAGUCAACGUAGCAAUGCGUGGCAUACGGCUCAGUAACACGUAGUCAACAUGCCCAGGGGACGAGGAUAACCUCGGGAAACUGAGGAUAAACCUCGAUAAGCCAUGAUUUCUGGAAUGAUUCUUGGCUCAAACCUAUAUGGCCCCUGGAUUGGACUGCGGCCGAUCAGGCUGUUGGUGAGGUAAUGGCCCACCAAACCUAUUACCGGUACGGGCUCUGAGAGGAGGAGCCCGGAGAUGGGCACUGAGACAAGGGCCCAGGCCCUAUGGGGCGCAGCAGGCGCGAAACCUCUGCAAUAGGCGAAAGCUUGACAGGGUUACUCUGAGUGGUUUCCGCUAAGGGAAUCUUUUGGCACCUCUAAAAAUGGUGCAGAAUAAGGGGUGGGCAAGUCUGGUGUCAGCCGCCGCGGUAAUACCAGCACCCCGAGUGGUCGGGACGAUUAUUGGGCCUAAAGCAUCCGUAGCCGGUCCUGCAAGUCUUCCGUUAAAUCCAGCUGCUCAACAGAUGGGCUGCGGGAGAUACUACAGGGCUAGGAGGCGGGAGAGGCAAGCGGUACUUUAUGGGUAGGGGUAAAAUCCGCUGAUCCAUAGAAGACCACCAGUGGCGAAGGCGGCUUGCCAGAACGCGCUCGACGGUGAGGGAUGAAAGCUGGGGGAGCAAACCGGAUUAGAUACCCGGGUAGUCCCAG